GAAAGUGGGCGACAUCAAGCAAGUCCCAGUUACAGAAAGAACCCACUGCAGGGCGUCCAGUCACUUGCCCAGUGAAAAGACUGUAAUCAGACAACUUUAAUAAAGGGAGAGCAGGAGAGUGGUGACGAAUUUCCACAUUCCGAACAAGCUUGUCGAAAGAGGAGUGCAGGGAAGGAGCAAGAAUGAGGCACUGGAAGACGGUGAGCGGGGCCUUGCCACAGAAUCCCGGGCCCACCUGCUUUCUCACAGUCGCGACAGCCGGCCCGGAGAAGGGCAGCCCAGCGAAGGGCACGCCCCGCGCGGGUGCCAGGGAGGCCGGCAGGGGCGUCCGCGGUCGCUGCUCACCUGCGCUCCCCGCUGCCCGGCCCAGCCCGCCUCGCCACCGAGUCUGGAAGCCCACACUCACCCCUUUACCCGGGAAACGCGGCCGGAGCCGGCGGCGGGUCGGGAGUCCGAGAUGGUAGAUCCCCCUCCAGGCGCCUCGCUGACAUUUUGUCCCGGACGGAAAACCUCCGCGCGUGCCCCUUAAAGACACAGCGCUGCAUUCACACGUCUGCGGGGAAAGGGGGGCCGUCACGUGUGGCCUUCGCCCGAAAGCGGUAGGGGAGUCGCUCUGAAACCGCCAAGGAUCGCGAGCGACAGAUUUGUGUUGGCCAGGGUUUUAAGAUGACGCAAUAGCUGAGUGUGGUUGAAAUGUAACUAUUGUUUUACAACUUUGCAUUAACCUUCCAAGACCUGAAUUCCCGGGCCUGAGUCUCAGAGCGCGGUUUGCAUCUUUGCAGGCUGUAGGCGCAUGAUGUCACAAGUUAUUGGAAGAAAUCCCUCCAACCUAGGUUGGGACAGAUGAAGGCGGCGCUUAUUGGUGUUCACCAAAACACCAGCAUGGUGUACCAGCUUUGGCUAGAUGAUGCUCAGGCCAGCAGGAGCCAGGCCGUGGCCUGCUGACUGCAUCUGCCAGAUGACUACCAAUGUGUGAGUAAACCCAUUCUCAAGCCCAAGAGAACCUCUCAGCUGAACCAGGCCCAAGUUGCUCACCCACUGAACUGCCAGUUAAAUAAAUGGUGGUUGUUUUAAUCCACUAAAUGCUGGGAUGGUUUGUUAUACAGCAGUAGGUAUCAAUACAGUGUACUUGUCAAUCUAGGAAUUCCUGUCUUGUCAAAUCUGAGAAAAUUCUCGGUCACUGUCACUUCAAAUAUUACUUCUUUCCCAUUUUCUAUUCACUCAUUCCAAAACUCCUAGUGGAUGUCUUUUCUGUCAUUUCUGGUUCUGUCUUUUGUGAUCUUAAACUUUCAUUCAUUGUUUUUCCAUUUUUACUUCCGUGUUACAUUUUGAGUCAUUUCCUUAGUUCCAGUUUGCUUAUUUUCUAUUCAACCAUUAAAUAUUUCUAUUUAGUUUUAAGUUUCAGUGGCUAUAAGUUUCAUUUAUAAAAGAACUAUUUGGUUAUUUUCUAAAUCUGCAUUUUGUUUUCACAUGUUUUUCUGUUUUUUAAUUUGUAUUUUCCUUUGCCCUUGUAAAUCAUUUAAAAUGUACUUAUUUUAUAAUCAUCUGUGGCUUGAUCUGUUUCUUUACUUCUUGGGCAUUACUUUUUCUGUUAAUUUCAUGAUCUGACCCUCAAGGUGGUUUCCUCCUAUGGUUUGUAAUUUUUAUUAUGAGCUUAUUUUCAGCAGGGAUUUCUCCCCUCUGGUGAAGAUCUGUAUGCCUUGGGUAAUGUGAUUGUCACUUCACUAUGCCUGCAAGUUUGCUUCUGAUGGCAUCCUACCGAUAUCACCAACUCUCAACCAGCUCUAAUGUUUCUUGGUAUUUCUGCCCACAGUGAAAAUUCAGAGCUCACUUCAAUGCAUGGCAUGGGCUUGGCUUCAAGUUUUUCUGUAUGACCUUUUUUUAAAUUUAUUUUUAUUUUUUUAAACCUAUAGCCCAAGGACACGGGAGCUUUUUUUCCUGAUUUGUUUUUGCCAACACUGUAGCCCUCAGGAACUCAGAUUUUGCAAAGUGCUCAAUUCCAGUUGCCUUCCUUACUCACACCAGAGACAAUAUUUUAUUGGCCUGCAAGGGUGUUAAAAUCCCAAGGGUGUUAAAAUCCCCAGAUCUCCAGGGCCUAUCAUUGGUCCAAACCCUGCAGAGGCUACAGUGACAUUAGCCCCUACUUACUGCCCAGCCUCUGAGCUCCCUCUUUGUUUCUAGAAUCUGGGGAUUUCCCUUUCUCUCUGUCUAGAGAUUGUUGUGCUGGACCCCUAUUGACUCCAAUAGGAAUGGCACCAGGUUCAAGAGGCCAAAGAAGAGACCUGGAGCCAGCAAAUGAGACAUAAGAUUUGAUUUGGGGGAACUUAUGUACAGGGAUGGACUAGUGGCAGUGGGCUGGAUAAGAGAACCACAACUGCUUUCCAAAAGCCUGCAGUUUAUACAGCACCUUCACUCAGCACCCUCUCUCCAGCAACAUCCACAUGGCAACCCCCAUUUCCUAGGCUAAGUUAUUGCUGUCAGAUGUGUUUGCCAUACAGGCUGCUGUACAGAGUAUGCUUAAGUUAUUGCUGUCAGGUACAUCCACCGUAUAUAUACAUACACAUGUACGUAUAUAUACACAUACAUGUAUGUGUGUGUGUACAUAUUUGUACUCAUAUACAUGUGUAUAUAUAGAUAUAUAAAAAAAUUUUCUCUGUGUUUCCCUGUAACAGUAACUGAAGAGGGAAUUCUUCUAUAUAAUCUCAGUCCACUAUAUUGCUAGAAGUUCUCUUCUCUAUACUUUUGAGAUAUGAAUUUUACCUUUCAAUAUUCUAAAAUUAUAACAAAGCUAUAAAUUUUGGGAAUUGGUAUAUGUUUGUUUUUAGAAAAAUUGUUAGAAACAUAAUAGCAAUGGGAUGCUUUAACAUGCUACCUUGAACCUUUACCAAAUCAAGAGAGUAAAAAUUAAGCACAAAAGAGGGAUCUAAUACUAUAAACAAGGUAGAUUUAAUACAUAUGUAUCAAACAUAGUAACCUAGAAGCAAUGAAUAUACAUUUUCUGGUGCUCAUUUAACAUUAACGACCUUCAAGAAGGCUUUAAACAGCAACAGAUAGAGUUGAGUUGCUUUGGCCUAUUGCUAAAGGCAUCUAACCCACCUGCUUUGUGGGAGGUCAUCUGCUUUGAAUCUCAACUGUAUCCAAGUCAGAUUUAAACUCUAUGGGGCAUUGGAAUUGUCCUCUGAAUCAUCUCCAACUCUGCAGGAUACAUAAUAGCACCACUUUGUUGUUCUGGAAUUUAAAGACAGGGUCUUAUUCAACUUUGGCUAUUUUUGUGCAGUCCAUGGAUCCUUGAAACAGGACAUUCUACUUUACCAAUAUCUGACUCAUAGAAGACCUAUCUAUAUACCUACCAGGUGGCUACUACCCAGUAACUCCUACCGCCAAUACCAUGACAUUUGUUUUGAAAACCUUAGCUUAUUGCAAUAUUGCUUAUAAUUAUGAAACCUUAGAAACAACUGAAAUGCCUAUCAAAGAGAGAAUUUAUAAAUAAAAUGUAACAUAUUCACGUUCUAUUUUGAUAUGAAUUACCAUAAUAUUCUAUUAGGAUAUGAAUUGUUAUAAUGGCCAUUAGAAGGAAUGGAUUGUUCCCAUAUAUAACAUAAUAUAUCCAUGUAUAAAGUAUCUAUAUAAUACCAACACGUAACAUAAUGUAAAGAAAAGAGAUUCAUGGAAUAAAAUGUGCAUGUCAUUGAUAUAAAUUUUAAAAACACAGAAAUAAUACAUUAUAUUAAGACUAUAUAUGUAUGUAAAAUUAUUACCAGUGGACUGAUUUGGAUAUACACUAAAUUCAUGCUACUUGCUUCUGGAGGUUGCAGUAAAGAACUGGAACUGUGUCUGGGGAUGUCACUUUUAUCUGUUUUAUUUAGUUCAUUUUUUAUAAACAAUCCUUGAGGCAAAUAUGAGCUGUUAAUAAAUGCCAAUUAGUCUUUUUGCA
Long non-coding RNA from Homo sapiens (human), 3934 nucleotides. Ensembl annotates it as ZBED3 antisense RNA 1. Its record names the gene ZBED3-AS1. NCBI's taxonomy places the organism in Eukaryota, Metazoa, Chordata, Mammalia, Primates, Hominidae. The record is from Ensembl.